RNAcentral lists this long non-coding RNA (973 nucleotides) under Equus caballus (horse). Its description in RNAcentral is "lncRNA (ENSECAG00000055459.1)". The record is from RNAcentral. Lineage: Eukaryota; Metazoa; Chordata; Mammalia; Perissodactyla; Equidae.
AGGACACCAUGAUUGGUCAGAUCUCGGUCACAUGACUACCUUAGUUGCCAGGAUGGUCAGGGACUCUGACCAGAAGAAGGGAAAUGGGGAGGACCGUUCAGAGAAGCCGAAACCAGCAGAUACCCAGACCGACAAACAUUGCUGCCAUGUGAGGAAGCAGAUACAAACCCCUGUUGCCCUGCGAUGCUUCCUCCAUUCACAGAACAUCCAGGGUGGCCAGCAUCCUGCCUCAGAGGAGGGAUGGCACAGCUCUGACAGCUCUGAACACAGAGACCAGAAGAGUCAAAAGACCCUGGGUGAAUGCAUAGUAAUGUAAGCAUCUCAAGACAUCAAAAGACCCCCAGACUAGAUAAACAUUGACCAGGCUUGGGAGGGCGAGGAGAAUAGAGUUUGACUUUGACUUUUGAGAACGAGAAGGGGCCAAGUGCCCUCCCUGCCAGGUCAAGUGCAGAGUAGCAAUGGGGAGAAUUGAGGAACUCCAAGAUGUCUGAGGGGACUCCAAAGAAGGGAGGACCUAUGCUCCCCAUCCCAGGACAGAAAGUCCCAGCGCAUAGCGGGACCCCAGAGUUCCCUGCACUGAGCUGGAGGGGGAGCAGAAAAGCAAUCCCGGAGCAGUCUGUGAAGGAGGACCUGAGGCCCUGCCCAGAAUGAGACCCAUAGAGUGUCCCAGGACCCCCAGAAGGGGAGACGGUGAGCUGACAGAGCCUUGUAGCUGGGCAUGAAGGAAGACCCACAGAAUGUCCCAGGCCCCAGAGAAGGGUGUAAACUAAACCAGUCUUGCGCUAGGCAUGAAGGACUACACAGCAGUGACCUGUAUGGACGGAAGACAAGACCAGAUGGGACCACACAUAGCACAGCGGGAACCAGCGGAGACAAAUGACAGCGCUAAGACCAAACACGUGACUUCAACAAGAUCCCAGAGGAGGAAGAACAGCCAUCUGACGGACGUUCAGUUUCUACCGUCUGAGUCAAG